RNAcentral lists this ribosomal RNA (373 nucleotides) under uncultured organism. RNAcentral describes it as "bacterial SSU rRNA". It matches the Rfam family "Bacterial small subunit ribosomal RNA", at positions 526 to 896 of the family's 1533-position model. The record is from RNAcentral.
CGUAGGGACCGAGCGUUGUCCGGAUUCAUUGGGCGUAAAGAGCUCGUAGGCGGCUGCUCAAGUCGAAUGUGAAACCUCGAGGCUUAACCUCGAGCCUGCAUUCGAUACUGGGCGGCUAGAGUCUGGUAGGGGGAUCUGGAAUUCCUGGUGUAGCGGUGGAAUGCGCAGAUAUCAGGAGGAACACCGGUGGCGAAGGCGGGAUCCUGGGCCAGUACUGACGCUGAGGAGCGAAAGCGUGGGGAGCAAACAGGAUUAGAUACCCUGGUAGUCCACGCCGUAAACGAUGGGCGCUAGGUGUGGGAGGUCAUCGACUCCUUCCGUGCCGCAGCUAACGCAUUAAGCGCCCCGCCUGGGGAGUACAGCCGCAAGGCUA